Molecule: long non-coding RNA, 1925 nt
Organism: Dreissena polymorpha
Lineage: Eukaryota; Metazoa; Mollusca; Bivalvia; Myida; Dreissenidae
Exons: 3
Source: RefSeq, a predicted model, not a curated record
UAGCUCAAACCGCGAUAAUACAGUUUCAAUAAAAUUGGUGUUAAUGGACAUUAUACUUGUGUACCGCAGAUGUACAUGUAAAGGUAUCUAGCAAACAUAGAUUGGACCCAUGUUCACGAUAUGUUGUCAUAUGUGAGUAAUGGACUAUAUGUGUGACUUGACGUUGUAAACGUAUGUUACUGUUUGAUUGCCUGUGUAACGCUGCCGUCAAAUAUUCAACAUGAGCUGAAGACGACUUGUGGAAAACAUCGUUUUUUUAAAUGUAAAUGUGGUGUAUUUCUAUUAAACUGCAUUUUAAAUUACAACAAAUGACUUACGGAAAUCUAUGUGGUGGACUUUACCAUAGUUCUCUGUGAACUAUCUGAACUAUUUGUAUAUUGUAUAUUGAGGUGUUUUUUUUCACUAUUAUGAGACGAGGUUUAAAGUUAAACGAAAUGGAACAAUGGUGUAAGCGUUUUAUUGCAACGAUGUAGUGAUUGUUUGCCCGACCGCAGACGCGUCUGCUCGCUAACAUUACAAAACAUUUCUUCGAAUGCAUGUACAUACUUGCAAUGAUAAUUCUGCCUUAAUACAUAUGUUGUCUUAAGUACAAGUAUUGGAAUCAAAGCAAACAAUUUAUACGACUUAAUUUGUCAUAAGCAAUAUCAUUUUAAAAUAAUGUAAAUAUGCACAUACAUGUACCAAUAUGUGACAAUGUAGUCGCACAGGCACCGCCGACCAACAACUACACAGUAACCGAUGGCAACGUGACGUGUGUUGUCAUGACGGCGGGUAUACGCCUGACAAUUCCGUACGUCACAGCUACUAAGAAUGACACAGUAAACAUUACAAUUCCACAGAACGGCACAACCUACAGUGGUGUGUUCCAAACCCGACGGCACGAACCAACUCAACAUAAAAUUUCUAGACAACUAGAACUUGACAUUCAUCUUCGCUAACUCAUCAACAGUAGAUAAUGAAUACGAAUGGCAGCUUGUAUUUUUGAAUUAUAUUAUUGACAAAUCCUAUUUCCCGAACGCUACCAAUUUAGGAAAGCACAAUUUGACGUUAACUUUCCCAAACGGAACGAAUGCUGCGCAAUUCAACGGUUCCUACCGCUGCGACCGCACGCGAGACAUCCCGUUGUCAAUGGGAGUUACCAUGACGAUGGUAAAUUUGAGUUACAGAGCAUUUGGAUCAGACAGUCACACGAACAUUUCCUCAGAAAACGUGAGCACGAGUCUUGGUAGACAUGGCAUAAGCCCGGAAACUGACCUCGCCCUGGCCCUCGCAGUGGGAAUUGCUCUCGGGUCGUGUAUUCUACUCACCGUGGUAGUGUACGUGAUAGCGAGCAGGGCCCGGGGGCACAAGAACCUAAAAUAAGCCAGUGGAAGACAGUACGACGUGUCGUUUUUUUAAUUGACUGGACUCAAAAGAGAUUUCCAUGACAGUUCCAAUAUUUAUCAUAGUUUUAAGUGUUCAUACGUUUUUGUGCAUGAACUGUUUAGUAAAUUAUAUUUACUGCGAAGAUCUAUUACUAAUUAUUUGAAAGAUCUCUCUAAACGUCAUUUUUGGUGCUUUUUUUAUGAUCGACGACCAUGACAUAUCAUAUGUUCAUUCUGUAUGAUAAAACUAAUAUGUCUUAGCUUGUUUUAAUCUAUAAUAUACUGAAUAUGAGCACGUGCACAUGAAGGAUCGUGAAAUAACACAAUCAUUCACAGUGCUCAAUAGUUUAAGAAACAAAUACGUGUUUCUAUAUUGUGUUUAGAAUGUUUUCAAUUAGGUCUCUUUCAUCUGCAUAUGCAUAUCGUACUUAACAUAUGAGCCGCGUUCUGAGAAAACUGGGCAUAAUGCAUGUGCGUAAAGUCUUGUCCCAGAUUAGCCUGUGCAGUCCGCACAGGCUAAUCAGAGACGUCAAUUUCCGCUUUAUUAUGACAUUUUUCGUU